RNAcentral lists this ribosomal RNA (650 nucleotides) under Shinella kummerowiae. RNAcentral's name for it is "bacterial SSU rRNA". It matches the Rfam family "Bacterial small subunit ribosomal RNA", at positions 59 to 758 of the family's 1533-position model. Lineage: Bacteria; Pseudomonadati; Pseudomonadota; Alphaproteobacteria; Hyphomicrobiales; Rhizobiaceae. The record is from RNAcentral.
CAGUCGACGCCCCGCAAGGGGAGUGGCAGACGGGUGAGUAACGCGUGGGAAUCUACCCAACCCUACGGAAUAACCCAGGGAAACUUGGACUAAUACCGUAUACGCCCUUAGGGGGAAAGAUUUAUCGGGGAUGGAUGAGCCCGCGUUGGAUUAGCUAGUUGGUGGGGUAAAGGCCUACCAAGGCGACGAUCCAUAGCUGGUCUGAGAGGAUGAUCAGCCACAUUGGGACUGAGACACGGCCCAAACUCCUACGGGAGGCAGCAGUGGGGAAUAUUGGACAAUGGGCGCAAGCCUGAUCCAGCCAUGCCGCGUGAGUGAUGAAGGCCUUAGGGUUGUAAAGCUCUUUCACCGGUGAAGAUAAUGACGGUAACCGGAGAAGAAGCCCCGGCUAACUUCGUGCCAGCAGCCGCGGUAAUACGAAGGGGGCUAGCGUUGUUCGGAAUUACUGGGCGUAAAGCGCACGUAGGCGGACUUUUAAGUCAGGGGUGAAAUCCCAGGGCUCAACCCUGGAACUGCCUUUGAUACUGGAAGUCUGGAGUAUGGAAGAGGUGAGUGGAAUUCCGAGUGUAGAGGUGAAAUUCGUAGAUAUUCGGAGGAACACCAGUGGCGAAGGCGGCUCACUGGUCCAUUACUGACGCUGAGGUGCGAAA